UACGAAGGGGGCGAGCGUUGUUCGGAUUUACUGGGCGUAAAGGGCGCGUAGGCGGCCCUCUUUGUCGCGUGUGAAAGCCCCGGGCUCAACCUGGGAAUUGCGCGCGAAACGGGGGGGCUUGAGUUCGGGAGAGGAGCGUGGAAUUCCCAGUGUAGAGGUGAAAUUCGUAGAUAUUGGGAAGAACACCGGUGGCGAAGGCGGCGCUCUGGACCGAGACUGACGCUGAGGCGCGAAAGCUAGGGGAGCAAACGGG
This 253-nucleotide ribosomal RNA is filed under the name uncultured bacterium. RNAcentral describes it as "partial 16S ribosomal RNA". It matches the Rfam family "Bacterial small subunit ribosomal RNA", at positions 524 to 776 of the family's 1533-position model. The record is from RNAcentral.